UACCAGUAAGUGUAAUGCUGGGAAGCAGCCCUGAGCCCUGCCCUGAGCGUCCCGGCUCUGCUUCACUUGGUCUCCUUCAGCUGCACCCUGCACUGGAAGAACGAGGACGUGGUGGGCACCGUGCUGCAGGAGCAGGGUUCAGCCUUCAGGUCAACCGGCUGUCCCCUCACCUUGAUAGUCUCUACCACCUGCAAUUGGUGGUAGAACUCCUUCAGGCAUUGUGAGAAGCCCCUGUCUCUGCCAGCUUCACACAGGGUGAAGGUGCUCUGCAGGAAUUUCAUCUUGGCAUCCUGCUGGGCAGCCUCCUUGACACCCAGGGGAUGAACAAUUGUAUUGCGCAUC
Pezoporus occidentalis (night parrot) is the source of this 342-nucleotide long non-coding RNA. RefSeq lists it as uncharacterized. The record is from RefSeq and is a predicted model, not a curated record. The transcript is spliced from 2 exons. NCBI's taxonomy places the organism in Eukaryota, Metazoa, Chordata, Aves, Psittaciformes, Psittacidae.